RNAcentral lists this transfer RNA (73 nucleotides) under Candidatus Xenolissoclinum pacificiensis L6. It matches the Rfam family "tRNA". Rfam says of the family: Transfer RNA (tRNA) molecules are approximately 80 nucleotides in length. Their secondary structure includes four short double-helical elements and three loops (D, anti-codon, and T loops). The record is from Rfam by way of RNAcentral. Lineage: Bacteria; Pseudomonadati; Pseudomonadota; Alphaproteobacteria; Rickettsiales; Anaplasmataceae.
AGGAGUGUAGCUUAAUUGGUAAAGUGCUGGUCUCCAAAACCAGAGAUUGCAGGUUCAAGUCCUGUCAUUCCUG